Vicia faba (fava bean) is the source of this 181-nucleotide non-coding RNA. The record is from the annotation of a GenBank genome assembly. Lineage: Eukaryota; Viridiplantae; Streptophyta; Magnoliopsida; Fabales; Fabaceae.
UAACAACAAAAUCAGUUCUCACAAAUUCAGCCUAUCUUUAGACAACAAAAUCAUUGAAUCAAAGAAAAAUGGAUUAGAGUUACCGGAAUCAAAAAGCGUCGGUCUUCAUCAGCGCGGUGGCUCACGAUUUUGUUUCCAAUUUGCGGUGGUGGUCUACAAGCGGAUCUACAACAUGAGUUGA